Molecule: ribosomal RNA, 228 nt
Filed under: uncultured bacterium
Lineage: Bacteria
Description: partial 16S ribosomal RNA
Rfam family: Bacterial small subunit ribosomal RNA
Source: RNAcentral
CGGGUGAGUAAUGUAUGGGGAUCUGCCCGAUGGAGGGGGAUAACUACUGGAAACGGUAGCUAAUACCGCAUAACGUCGCAAGACCAAAGAGGGGGACCUUAGGGCCUCUUGCCAUCGGAUGUGCCCAGAUGGGAUUAGCUAGUAGGUGGGGUAAUGGCUCACCUAGGCGACGAUCCCUAGCUGGUCUGAGAGGAUGAUCAGCCACACUGGGACUGAGACACGGCCCAG